RNAcentral lists this transfer RNA (77 nucleotides) under Dehalococcoidia bacterium. Its description in RNAcentral is "tRNA-Lys". It matches the Rfam family "tRNA". From Rfam's summary of the family: Transfer RNA (tRNA) molecules are approximately 80 nucleotides in length. Their secondary structure includes four short double-helical elements and three loops (D, anti-codon, and T loops). Lineage: Bacteria; Bacillati; Chloroflexota; Dehalococcoidia. The record is from RNAcentral.
GGGCGGUUAGCUCAGUUGGUUAGAGCACCUGCCUUUUAAGCAGGGAGUCCGGAGUUCGAAUCUCCGACCGCUCACCA